RNAcentral lists this transfer RNA (96 nucleotides) under Pandoraea iniqua. Its description in RNAcentral is "Pandoraea sp. LMG 31009 tRNA-Gly". Lineage: Bacteria; Pseudomonadati; Pseudomonadota; Betaproteobacteria; Burkholderiales; Burkholderiaceae. The record is from RNAcentral.
CGACGGUGUAGCAACCGCCGGUGCUGCCGGCGUCGCCACUGCCGCCAGACGCGAGGUGAUUUCCUUGCGAUAGCGGUUCAGGUCCGUUGCGGUCGC